This 277-nucleotide unclassified non-coding RNA is filed under the name Hevea brasiliensis (rubber tree). Lineage: Eukaryota; Viridiplantae; Streptophyta; Magnoliopsida; Malpighiales; Euphorbiaceae. The record is from RNAcentral.
UAACCCUAGAGGUAAUCACAAUUAGUAGUAUGGGUUUGUGAAAAUCCAUUGAAAGUUUGAAACUGACGCCCUUUCCCCAGGGAGAACAAAGCAAAAAAUUGCAAAAGUCCAUCAGCUAAACAAACAUCACAGUAAGCCAACCCGCUGCUUCAUAGUAAAAGGAAUUUAAUUAAAAAUGGUAGAAACAUUUUUAGUAACAACCAUAAGCAACAAACGAGCAUUAUAAAGAAUAGGCCAUAUUAAACCACAGCACAUUCUACAUUUAUACAUUGACACA